AUGGUGGAAUGCCUGAACUCUUCUUUAAAAAUUUCUUUUCUAUGAUUUUCAGGUGAUCAUCAAUAUAGCCAUCCGAUUUUGAGCAGUGCUACCCAGAUCCCGCCACAUGAGAAGCCACGGAUGAACAACAUCCUGACAUCAGCCACCGAGCCCUAUGACCUCUCCUUCUCCCGCUCUUUCCAGAACUUGGCCCACCUGCCCCCAUCCUACGAGUCUGCAGUAAAGACCAACCCCAGCAAGUAUUCAUCUCUGAAGAGGCUAACCGACAAGGAGGCUGACGAGUAUUACAUGAGGCGGCGGCACCUGCCUGACCUGGCUGCCCGCGGCACCCUCCCCCUCAAUGUCAUCCAGAUGUCCCAACAGAAGCCGUUGCCACGGGAACGACCCCGCCGGCCCAUCCGGGCCAUGUCCCAGGACAGGGUCCUGUCCCCGGAUCGAGGCCUGGCAGAUGAGUUCAGCAUGCCAUACGACCGCAUCCUGUCCGACGAGCAGCUGCUCUCCACGGAGCGCCUGCACUCCCAGGACCCGCUGCUGUCCCCGGAGCGGACGACCUUUCCUGAGCAGUCGCUGUCCAGGGCCAUCUCGCACACGGACGUCUUUGUGUCCACACCCGUGCUGGACCGCUACCGCAUGAGCAAGAUGCACUCUCAUCCCAGUGCCUCCAAUAACUCGUACGCCACCCUGGGCCAGAGCCAGACGGCAGCCAAGCGUCAUGCCUUUGCCUCGCGCAGACACAACACAGUGGAGCAGCUGCACUACAUCCCGGGCCACCACACCUGCUACACAGCCAGCAAGACCGAAGUGACCGUGUGA
This 813-nucleotide long non-coding RNA is filed under the name Rhinopithecus bieti (black snub-nosed monkey). Its description in RNAcentral is "lncRNA (ENSRBIG00000046464.1)". Lineage: Eukaryota; Metazoa; Chordata; Mammalia; Primates; Cercopithecidae. The record is from RNAcentral.